AGCUUUGCGCAGUGGCAGUAUCAUAGCCAAUGAAAUUUAUCCGAGGCAUGAUUAUUGCUAAUUGAAAGUUCACUUGUUUAAAGGUGCACAAUUCAAUGG
RNAcentral lists this small nuclear RNA (99 nucleotides) under Vulpes vulpes (red fox). Its description in RNAcentral is "U4 spliceosomal RNA (ENSVVUG00000013111.1)". The stretch from base 1 to 75 matches the Rfam family "U4 spliceosomal RNA". From Rfam's summary of the family: U4 small nuclear RNA (U4 snRNA) is a component of the major U2-dependent spliceosome. The structure of U4 snRNA from yeast and human has been reported. Lineage: Eukaryota; Metazoa; Chordata; Mammalia; Carnivora; Canidae. The record is from RNAcentral.